This 490-nucleotide ribosomal RNA is filed under the name uncultured bacterium. Its description in RNAcentral is "partial 16S ribosomal RNA". It matches the Rfam family "Bacterial small subunit ribosomal RNA", at positions 30 to 507 of the family's 1533-position model. The record is from RNAcentral.
AUUGAACGCUGGCGGCAGGCCUAACACAUGCAAGUCGAACGGUAACAGGAAGAAGCUUGCUUCUUUGCUGACGAGUGGCGGACGGGUGAGUAAUGUCUGGGAAACUGCCUGAUGGAGGGGGAUAACUACUGGAAACGGUAGCUAAUACCGCAUAACGUCGCAAAACCAAAGAGGGGGACCUUCGGGCCUCUUGCCAUCGGAUGUGCCCAGAUGGGAUUAGCUAGUAGGUGGGGUAACGGCUCACCUAGGCGACGAUCCCUAGCUGGUCUGAGAGGAUGAACAGCCACACUGGAACUGAGACACGGUCCAGACUCCUACGGGAGGCAGCAGUGGGGAAUAUUGCACAAUGGGCGCAAGCCUGAUGCAGCCAUGCCGCGUGUAUGAAGAAGGCCUUCGGGUUGUAAAGUACUUUCAGCGGGGAGGAAGGGAGUAAAGUUAAUACCUUUGCUCAUUGACGUUACCCGCAGAAGAAGCACCGGCUAACUCCGUG